AGUCGAGGGGCAGCAUGGUCUUAGCUUGCUAAGGCCGAUGGCGACCGGCGCACGGGUGAGUAACACGUAUCCAACCUGCCGUCUACUCUUGGACAGCCUUCUGAAAGGAAGAUUAAUACAAGAUGGCAUCAUGAGUCCGCAUGUUCACAUGAUUAAAGGUAUUCCGGUAGACGAUGGGGAUGCGUUCCAUUAGAUAGUAGGCGGGGUAACGGCCCACCUAGUCUUCGAUGGAUAGGGGUUCUGAGAGGAAGGUCCCCCACAUUGGAACUGAGACACGGUCCAAACUCCUACGGGAGGCAGCAGUGAGGAAUAUUGGUCAAUGGGCGAGAGCCUGAACCAGCCAAGUAGCGUGAAGGAUGACUGCCCUAUGGGUUGUAAACUUCUUUUAUAAAGGAAUAAAGUCGGGUAUGNAUACCCGUUUGCAUGUNCUUUAUGAAUAAGGAUCGGCUAACUCCGUGCCAGCAGCCGCGGUAAUACGGAGGAUCCGAGCGUUAUCCGGAUUUAUUGGGUUUAAAGGGAGCGUAGAUGGAUGUUUAAGUCAGUUGUGAAAGUUUGCGGCUCAACCGUAAAAUUGCAGUUGAUACUGGAUAUCUUGAGUGCAGUUGAGGCAGGCGGAAUUCGUGGUGUAGCGGUGAAAUGCUUAGAUAUCACGAAGAACUCCGAUUGCGAAGGCAGCCUUGCUAAGCUGCAACUGACAUUGAGGCUCGAAAGUGUGGGUAUCAAACAGGAUUAGAUACCCUGGUAGUCCACACGGUAAACGAUGAAUACUCGCUGUUUGCGAUAUACGGCAAGCGGCCAAGCGAAAGCGUUAAGUAUUCCACCUGGGGAGUACGCCGGCAACGGUGAAACUCAAAGGAAUUGACGGGGGCCCGCACAAGCGGAGGAACAUGUGGUUUAAUUCGAUGAUACGCGAGGAACCUUACCCGGGCUUAAAUUGCAGAUGAAUUACGGUGAAAGCCGUAAGCCGCAAGGCAUCUGUGAAGGUGCUGCAUGGUUGUCGUCAGCUCGUGCCGUGAGGUGUCGGCUUAAGUGCCAUAACGAGCGCAACCCUUGUUGUCAGUUACUAACAGGUUCCGCUGAGGACUCUGACAAGACUGCCAUCGUAAGAUGUGAGGAAGGUGGGGAUGACGUCAAAUCAGCACGGCCCUUACGUCCGGGGCUACACACGUGUUACAAUGGGGGGUACAGAGGGCCGCUACCACGCGAGUGGAUGCCAAUCCCAAAAACCUCUCUCAGUUCGGACUGGAGUCUGCAACCCGACUCCACGAAGCUGGAUUCGCUAGUAAUCGCGCAUCAGCCACGGCGCGGUGAAUACGUUCCCGGGCCUUGUACACACCGCCCGUCAAGCCAUGGGAGCCGGGGGUACCUGAAGUGCGAACCCGCGAGGAG
Molecule: ribosomal RNA, 1389 nt
Filed under: bacterium NLAE-zl-P478
Lineage: Bacteria
Description: 16S ribosomal RNA
Rfam family: Bacterial small subunit ribosomal RNA
Source: RNAcentral